Molecule: ribosomal RNA, 901 nt
Filed under: uncultured Chloroflexota bacterium
Lineage: Bacteria; Bacillati; Chloroflexota
Description: bacterial SSU rRNA
Rfam family: Bacterial small subunit ribosomal RNA
Source: RNAcentral
CGGAGAGGUUGUCUGAUACUGGCGAACUAGAGUGUAGUAGAGGGAUGUGGAAUUCCGCGUGUAGUGGUGAAAUGCGUAGAUAUGCGGAGAAACACCAGUGGCGAAGGCGGCAUCCUGGACCACAACUGACGCUGAGGCGCGAAAGCAUGGGUAGCGAACGGGAUUAGAAACCCCGGUAGUCCAUGCCGUAAACGAUGUGCAUUCGAUGUUCGUACUGCAUUGCAGUAUGAGUGUCUAAGUCAACGCGGUAAAUGCACCGCCUGGGGAGUACGGUCGCAAGGCUAAAACUCAAAGGAAUUGACGGGGGCCCGCACAAGCAGCGGAGCGUGUGGUUUAAUUCGAGGCUACACGAAGAACCUUACCUGGGUUUGACAUCAUGGUGGUAGUGAAGCGAAAGCGGAACGACCUUCGGGAGCCAUGACAGGUGCUGCAUGGCUGUCGUCAGCUCGUGCCGUGAGGUGUUCGGUUAAGUCCGAAAACGAGCGCAACCCUCGGUGCUAGUUACAAGUGUCUAGCGCGACUGCCCGUGACAAACGGGAGGAAGGUGGGGAUGACGUCAAGUCAGCAUGGCCUUUAUAUCCAGGGCUACACACACGCUACAAUGGACGAUACAGUAGGUUGCGAAGCCGCGAGGUGGAGCCAAUCCAGCAAAGUCGUUCGUAGUUCGAAUUGCAGGCUGCAACUCGCCUGCAUGAAGUCGGAGUUGCUAGUAACCGCAGGUCAGCUAUACUGCGGUGAAUACGUUCCCGGGCCUUGUACACACCGCCCGUCACGUCAUGGAAGCUGGUCACGCCUGAAGUCGGGAAGCUAACCGCAAGGGGGCUACUGCCGAGGGCAGGGCUGGUGACUGGGACGAAGUCGUAACAAGGUAGCUGUAGCGGAAGCUGCGGCUGGAUCACCU